AGUGAACGCUGGCGGUAGGCCUAACACAUGCAAGUCGAACGGCAGCACAGUAAGAGCUUGCUCUUACGGGUGGCGAGUGGCGGACGGGUGAGGAAUACAUCGGAAUCUACUUUUUCGUGGGGGAUAACGUAGGGAAACUUACGCUAAUACCGCAUACGACCUACGGGUGAAAGCAGGGGAUCUUCGGACCUUGCGCGAUUGAAUGAGCCGAUGUCGGAUUAGCUAGUUGGCGGGGUAAAGGCCCACCAAGGCGACGAUCCGUAGCUGGUCUGAGAGGAUGAUCCGCCAACCUGGAACUGAGACACGGUCCAGACUCCUACGGGAGGCAGCAGUGGGGAAUAUUGGACAAUGGGCGCAAGCCUGAUCCAGCCAUACCGCGUGGGUGAAGAAGGCCUUCGGGUUGUAAAGCCCUUUUGUUGGGAAAGAAAAGCAGCGGGUUAAUACCCCGCUGUUCUGACGGUACCCAAAGAAUAAGCACCGGCUAACUUCGU
This 491-nucleotide ribosomal RNA is filed under the name uncultured bacterium. Its description in RNAcentral is "partial 16S ribosomal RNA". It matches the Rfam family "Bacterial small subunit ribosomal RNA", at positions 29 to 506 of the family's 1533-position model. The record is from RNAcentral.